GAUGAAGAACGCAGCGAAAUGCGAUAAGUAAUGUGAAUUGCAGAAUUCAGUGAAUCAUCGAAUCUUUGAACGCACAUUGCGCCCGCCAGUAUUCUGGCGGGCAUGCCUGUUCGAGCGUCAUUUCAACCAUCAAGCCCUGCUUGCGUUGGGGUCCUGCGGCUGCCCGCAGGCCCUGAAAACCAGUGGCGGGCUCGCUAGUCAUACCGAGCGCAGUAAUACAUCUCGCUUUGGGCGUGCGGCGGGUUCUUGCCGUUAAACACCCCCUUUUUACCAAGGUUGAUCUCGGAUCAGGUAGGAAUACCCGCUGAACUUAAGCAUAUCAAUAAGCGGAGGA
This 334-nucleotide unclassified non-coding RNA is filed under the name soil metagenome. RNAcentral describes it as "partial contains 5.8S ribosomal RNA, internal transcribed spacer 2, and large subunit ribosomal RNA". The stretch from base 1 to 120 matches the Rfam family "5.8S ribosomal RNA", at positions 35 to 154 of the family's 154-position model. The record is from RNAcentral.